This 71-nucleotide transfer RNA is filed under the name Clostridium sp. AF50-3. Its description in RNAcentral is "tRNA-Trp". It matches the Rfam family "tRNA". Rfam says of the family: Transfer RNA (tRNA) molecules are approximately 80 nucleotides in length. Lineage: Bacteria; Bacillati; Bacillota; Clostridia; Eubacteriales; Clostridiaceae. The record is from RNAcentral.
CGAUCAGUGGUGCAAUGGCAGCAUAAGAGUCUCCAAAACUCCUGAUGCGGGUUCGAUUCCUGCCUGAUCUG